This is a long non-coding RNA of Entelurus aequoreus (snake pipefish), 1811 nucleotides long. RefSeq lists it as uncharacterized. NCBI's taxonomy places the organism in Eukaryota, Metazoa, Chordata, Actinopteri, Syngnathiformes, Syngnathidae. The transcript is spliced from 3 exons. The record is from RefSeq and is a predicted model, not a curated record.
AUAAGAUGUCUAUGACUGCAGGUAUUGCGGGUUGAAAAUCUACUUUCUGUUUUGAGGCCGUAAACCGGAAAUUAGCGUCCGUAGCGUUUUUUUGCUCGGAAGGAUUCGUCAUUCAUCGCCCCAAGCAACGUGUCAGGUCUUGCCGUAACUGGCGCCCGUGAGGCAGGGUGACGAGCUCCAGGCCCGAUGCCACCCCCAUAAUCCUCUUCUGCUCGUCCGUCACUCCCACAAUACGUGCCACCUUGAGCAAACAAAACAAAAACAAAGCUAUCAAGCAUCGCCCUAAAAGUGUUAAUACUGCCGACCGAUGCACGCGCAGCUUUGGGAACAAAACAGCUCGGAGCUAUCCAGCCAACCGGCUACCAGGAAGUGGAAAGCCAUGUGCGAAAACAACGCGCAACACAUCAUGUGUCGAGGGACCGCUGCAGGGCUGAGCUGGCCACCGCCGUGAACUUGGAUGUGGCCUUUUGGGACGUCUCUGCAACACGUGGACUGUUGAUUAGGCACAGCUACGUCCCACAAGCCGUGAAUGUGUGGAAACGGCAUUUAAAAGAUUUUAUGGCCUUUUUAUGUGGCGCUUCUUUUCAAUUUUACCACUACAACAAUGGGUCCUUUUCUUUCUGCAUGAUCACAACAGGAAACUUAGAAGGGAAUCAAUACCUCAUUUAUUAUACAAUCACUGACUAAAAAUGCUAAAAACAAGUGAAUAUUUCCAGGAAAUGUAACACAAAUACAAUUAUAAUAGCAAAGACAAGAAUAAAACUUUAUUUUGAGACAUGUCUGUUAUGACAACAUAGUGAAAUUAACUUUUUUUUUUUUUUUAACUUUCACUUCUAGUUAAUUAAUGCUGAAAAUGUAAUCACAGUUCACGCUGCAUGACCAAGGCAGUGAAAAUCAUAAUUUGAACCGUUGCCAUCCGGAAGAUGGUAAAGAGCAGGGUUAUUCAACUAAAUUGUUUUGGGUGCCACAUUAUUUACCCGAACUGAACUCGUUAAAAAGCCCAAAUGAUGAAAAAGAGAGGACCUAAAUUGUAACCUUGAGGAACACCAAUGGUAUAACGAAAGAAGUUGUAUAAAUGACUAUUGACUGCAUCUGAAGUAAACAAGCUACAGCAACACCUUACUUACAUAAAUCACAUUAUGAAAAAAAAAAUGCCAGAGGACCUAAAGGGGUGCCUUGAGGAACGCAUCACAAUUUUGGACCCCAGUGUUCUGUUUGCUAGCAAGUUUAAAAUGUCAAUGCGAAGAUCUGCCAAUGUAUUUAGUGGUCCAAGUUCCUCUGUGUUUAAGAAUUUGCUGCAAAACGUUUGUCUCCCAAAUUUUGAACUGAACUGGGGGGCCGGUAUGGUAUCAUUUCCGGACCGGAUUUGGCCCCCAGUACUUCAGUUGAGUAGCACUAGUAUUGAGCAAUAACAAUAGAAAAUGUCAGACUGAAAAUACGUCUUUUCCCUAUCGCUGUGAGCAGGUUAAACUCUGCCAACUUACACUAAUAAUUCCGUGCAAUUUUGAAUUGUAAUGAUGCAAAAUGUUUGUGUUCUAGCUUGUAAAUACUGACACUUGAAAUUACAAAUCCAUGCAAUACAGUAAUGUGUAAUAUCUUGGAAUGUGCGGGAGUGUGUGCAUUUGUUUGUAUUAACUUUAGGUGUAGUUUUCAUUGUACUGCACUGAUGGAUGGCACCUAAUUUCAUUGUUAACCGUGUCCUUUUUAAUAAAGGGAUUCUAUUCUAUUUGAAUUAAUCAAAAACUAUGGAGGUUCAAUUGUGUCUUUACUAUGAAAGCUUUUUUUUUACGCUGAAUUUAUGUAACUGAAUU